AUUGAACGCUGGCGGAAUGCUUUACACAUGCAAGUCGAACGGCAGCACGGGUGCUUGCACCUGGUGGCGAGUGGCGAACGGGUGAGUAAUGCACCGGAACGUAUCCAAUAAUGGGGGAUAACGCACCGAAAGGUGUGCUAAUACCGCAUACGCCCUGAGGGGGAAAGCGGGGGAUCGUAAGACCUCGCGUUAAUGGAGCGGCCGAUGCCGGAUUAGCUAGUUGGUGAGGUAAAGGCUCACCAAGGCGACGAUCCGUAGCUGGUCUGAGAGGACGACCAGCCACACUGGAACUGAGACACGGUCCAGACUCCUACGGAGGCAGCAGUGGGGAAUUUUGGACAAUGGGCGCAAGCCUGAUCCAGCCAUUCCGCGUGAGUGAAGAAGGCCU
Molecule: ribosomal RNA, 388 nt
Filed under: uncultured bacterium
Lineage: Bacteria
Description: bacterial SSU rRNA
Rfam family: Bacterial small subunit ribosomal RNA
Source: RNAcentral